RNAcentral lists this ribosomal RNA (253 nucleotides) under uncultured bacterium. Its description in RNAcentral is "partial 16S ribosomal RNA". It matches the Rfam family "Bacterial small subunit ribosomal RNA", at positions 524 to 776 of the family's 1533-position model. The record is from RNAcentral.
UACGUAGGGAGCAAGCGUUGUCCGGAAUCAUUGGGCGUAAAGAGCGCGUAGGUGGCUUUAUAAGUCCGUUGUGAAAGUCAAAGGCUCAACCUUUGAAAGCCGAUGGAUACUGUGAAGCUAGAGUACGGAAGAGGCGAGUGGAAUUCCUGGUGUAGCGGUGAAAUGCGCAGAUAUCAGGAGGAACACCAACGGCGAAGGCAGCUCGCUGGGACGGUACUGACACUGAGGCGCGAAAGCGUGGGGAGCGAACAGG